This 589-nucleotide long non-coding RNA is filed under the name Ananas comosus (pineapple). RNAcentral's name for it is "long non-coding RNA (ACOM_LNC032429)". The record is from RNAcentral. Lineage: Eukaryota; Viridiplantae; Streptophyta; Magnoliopsida; Poales; Bromeliaceae.
UCGAAAAACUGUAACGACCCAACCCACUAGCAAUAAUAACUCGUUGGGCACAACCACUGGUCCAAAAUGCUUAAGCCCAGCAUUUAAGUCUAUUAUAUAGGAUUAUUGGGGUAUGACACACUCCCCCCGUUAAGGUUAAGGCUCUGACUCAUCUCACACUACCAGCUGGUGAACCGGCUCUGAUACCAAAUAUAACGAUCCAGCCCACUGACAAUAAUAACUUAUUGGAUCUAACCACUGGUCCAAAAUGCUUAAGCCCAGCAUUUAAGUCUAUUAUAUAGGAUUAUUGGGGUAUGACACACUCCCCCCGUUAAGGUUAAGGCUCUGACUCAUCUCACACUACCAGCUGGUGAACCGGCUCUGAUACCAAAUAUAACGAUCCAGCCCACUGACAAUAAUAACUUAUUGGAUCUAACCACUGGUCCAAAAUGCUUAAUCUCAGCUAUUAUUACUAGUGUCUACGUCUUAUAUAUAUAUAUAUCCAAUCACAUUCUCAUUCCUAUCCGAUAUGGGAUUAUUGAAGUGUGACAAAAACUCCUUCAGUUAAUUUUAUUUUUCUACAAGAAAAUGACAUAGGAAUGCGGUGCAG